GAGACGGUGGGACAGCGGGCCAGGUGGACCCCAGCGCAAGGCGUGCGUGCUUGCAGGGCGGUGACAGCGGGGUGGGGGCGGAGGCGCACCCCAGGGACCCAGCGGCCCACCACACCCGCAGCGAGGACCGACGACGGGCCGCCCGACAACUCGACCGAGGGCACAAGCGGCGCGGGGCCGCACCGCGGCGUCGCGGAGGGACGAGGGGGGAAGCCCCAAGCUCCCCCACCACCACCACACCCCAGACACGGACCUCCCCCUCGACGGCCCGGGGCACCGAGCAGUCACGUCGGGACCGGCCGACACGCGCGCGCCCUCGCUCGAGCGGACAGGAGAGGGGUGGCAACGAGGGCCAAGGCCCAAGGCCCCUCCCCCCCACCCACCCAGGAGCGGCACGGCUAUGACGGCCGGCCCGCAGCGGCUAGCCGGGUCCCGACUCGCGCUCAGGUGAGCUCAGCAGAGCCGGGAGGGAGGGGCACGCGGCAGGGGGUGGGGGGUGGCAGAAGGCCACCCCUCGACCACACGCAACGACACCGGCGGACAGGCGGGGCAAGGAAGCGGCGGCGGGCACGGAGCGGGGCCGCAGCGGGCCCAGGAAAGCGAGACGCACCAGGACGCCGGUCCGGGGGUCGGCAGAUGGGGACCAGACAGACGGGAGGUCAGACAGACGAGCGGGAGCGAGGAGGGCGAACGUGGGAGCGGCCGGCAUCGAGAGAGAUGCCACAAAGGGACGGUGGCGGAGGGGGCGGCCGCAGGCCUCCAACGAGGUGGGGGGGGGCCACGGGGACCAUCCCCAAAAACCAGAUGCGAGUCGGCUGCCAGGGCACGACACGGGGUCUCACCGCCAGAGGCCUCCAGCACAACGGCGGUCCCGCCGCAACACCCAGGACGCCGACUGGCCUCCCCCUCAGCCCCUGGGGGGCCCCCCCUCGCGGGGGCCCCACGACCGCCACCGACGACACCGAUGAGCCACAGCCGGCCCCGUGGAAACAAGUCUCCCAAGGCACCUACCGACGACCACCCCCCACACCCCACACGCACCCGCCGUGCCCAACCCUCUUCCCCCACCCCCCCGCGCACAGGGGGACACCCGAGAAGCACCUCACCCAGGGACACCCGCCCGGCCACGGCGGCCCGGGGGGGACACCCACACGAGGUGAGGCCAUUUCAGGUCCCCGGUUGACGCGGGGGCGGGAGGGAGAGAGACAUGGCACAGGCAAGGCAGGGCGGUCACCUGUUCGGGGCAGGGGGAGGGC
This 1256-nucleotide long non-coding RNA is filed under the name Sus scrofa (pig). RNAcentral describes it as "lncRNA (ENSSSCG00005033039.1)". Lineage: Eukaryota; Metazoa; Chordata; Mammalia; Artiodactyla; Suidae. The record is from RNAcentral.